GUGGGGAAUAUUGCGCAAUGGGGGAAACCCUGACGCAGCGACGCCGCGUGGGUGAUGAAGGCCUUCGGGUCGUAAAGCCCUGUCGUAGGGGAAGAACCGGUGGGCGGCUAAUACCCGUUCGCCUUGACGGUACCCUACAAGAAAGCACCGGCUAACUCCGUGCCAGCAGCCGCGGUAAUACGGAGGGUGCGAGCGUUGUUCGGAAUUACUGGGCGUAAAGCGCGUGCAGGCGGCCGACUAAGUCCGGUGUGAAAGCCCGGGGCUCACCCCCGGAAGUGCGCUGGAAACUGGUCGGCUAGAGUACGGGAGAGGGAAGUGGAAUUCCUGGUGUAGCGGUGAAAUGCGUAGAUAUCAGGAGGAACACCAGCGGCGAAGGCGGCUUCCUGGACCGAUACUGACGCUGAGACGCGAAAGCGUGGGGAGCAAACAGGAUUAGAUACCCCUGUAGUCC
This 451-nucleotide ribosomal RNA is filed under the name uncultured bacterium. RNAcentral describes it as "bacterial SSU rRNA". It matches the Rfam family "Bacterial small subunit ribosomal RNA", at positions 354 to 796 of the family's 1533-position model. The record is from RNAcentral.